GCCAGAGGCUGUGACCAUAAUUCUGCCAUUCACAAAGAAGAUUAUGCCAGACUGUAUCCUCCGACAGCACUAAUAAAAGCUUAGGAUUGUGGCUUUGGUAUGAACCACCCACGAAGAUCAUCCCGGCUAGCACCCUUCAAUGACAAUUCCUGGGGGUUAAGGUGAUGAUAUAUAAGUAGGAUGUGCAAAGCCAACUAACAAGUUAUUAGUAAGCAGACAUCUGUCCUGAUG
Non-coding RNA from Pelobates cultripes (western spadefoot toad), 231 nucleotides. The record is from the annotation of a GenBank genome assembly. NCBI's taxonomy places the organism in Eukaryota, Metazoa, Chordata, Amphibia, Anura, Pelobatidae.